Molecule: ribosomal RNA, 269 nt
Filed under: uncultured prokaryote
Description: partial 16S ribosomal RNA
Rfam family: Bacterial small subunit ribosomal RNA
Source: RNAcentral
UACGUAGGAGGCGAGCGUUAUCCGGAUUUACUGGGCGUAAAGCGGGUGUAGGCGGCCUUUCAAGUCGGAUGUAAAAUCUCCCGGCUCAACUGGGAGGGACCAUUCGAUACUGUUGGGCUAGAGGGCAGCAGAGGGAGGUGGAAUUCCCGGUGUAGUGGUGACAUGCGUAGAUAUCGGGAGGAACACCAGUGGCGAAGGCGGCCUCCUAGGCUGUUUCUGACGCUGAGAUCCGAAAGCGUGGGGAGCAAACAGGAUUAGAUACCCGCGUA